AACGAACGCUGGCGGCAUGCCUAACACAUGCAAGUCGAACGAAGCCUUCGGGCUUAGUGGCGCACGGGUGCGUAACGCGUGGGAAUCUGCCCUUUGGUUCGGAAUAACAGUUGGAAACGACUGCUAAUACCGGAUGAUGACGAAAGUCCAAAGAUUUAUCGCCAGAGGAUGAGCCCGCGUAGGAUUAGCUAGUUGGUGUGGUAAAGGCGAACCAAGGCGACGAUCCUUAGCUGGUCUGAGAGGAUGAUCAGCCACACUGGGACUGAGACACGGCCCAGACUCCUACGGGAGGCAGCAGUGGGGAAGAUUGGACAAUGGGCGAAAGACUGAUCCAGCAAUGCCGCGUGGGUGAUGAAGGCCCUAGGGUUGUAAAGCUCUUUUACCCGAGAUGAUAAUGACAGUACCGGGAGAAUAAGCCCCGGCUAACUCCGUGCCAGCCGCCGCCGUAA
Molecule: ribosomal RNA, 449 nt
Filed under: uncultured bacterium
Lineage: Bacteria
Description: partial 16S ribosomal RNA
Rfam family: Bacterial small subunit ribosomal RNA
Source: RNAcentral